This is a long non-coding RNA of Oncorhynchus tshawytscha (Chinook salmon), 418 nucleotides long. Lineage: Eukaryota; Metazoa; Chordata; Actinopteri; Salmoniformes; Salmonidae. The record is from Ensembl.
CAGGGGCGUGGAACACCUUCCCAGCAUCCAGUAAAGCCAGCAGGACAGGGGCGUGGAACACCUUCUCAGCAUACAGUGAACCAACAAGACAGGGGUGUGGAACACCUUCUCAGAAUCCAGUGAAACCAGCAGGACAGGGGUCGUCUGUUCGUUUACUUGAUCUAUAAUAUCAAAAAGACGAUGGAUGUUAUCAGAAGAGUACCUGUCUCUAAUAAAUCCAGUUUGGUCCGCUUGUAAUAUUUUGCCGUGUGCUGUGUCUACUGGCGCUGACCAUGGCCAUCCUCUCCUCUACAUUGGAAGUGCGUUCCCAGGGAAUGAGGCCUCUAAAUUGCUGUUUGAAGACAUCCAAAAAACGUCCAGCAGAACCAAUCACACUGUGUCUUAUUCAGAUGCCUCGUGGGAAAUGUAACCUCAAAGC